Long non-coding RNA from Mus musculus (house mouse), 779 nucleotides. RefSeq annotates it as predicted gene, 40634. NCBI's taxonomy places the organism in Eukaryota, Metazoa, Chordata, Mammalia, Rodentia, Muridae. The transcript has 3 exons. The record is from RefSeq and is a predicted model, not a curated record.
UCCUAAAGAUCCACUUACUGUCUUUGUCCACUCCUCCCCCUGCUCACCACAGCCAUGGCUGAGGCUGCCAGCCUCACUUCAGGCUUCCAAUUCUUCCUUGACUCUGUUUCCUCGAGAGUGUGGAGUAAUCCUUCCAAAAUGCAAAUUGGACCCUGUCACGUGCCUGCCUCAAGCAGGGAGUCCCUAAGUGGCUCUGCGGGAACAAAGGCCAAAGGAAGCUCACAAAGAGCCCCCUUGCCUGCACCGCUCGUUUCCCCUGCCACUCCUCACCCUUGAGCUAUGAGAAGUGGUACAGGACUCUCUCCAAUGGCACAUGCAAACCUGAGUUCAUCUGUAGGGGAAGAUGCUUUCAAGAUAACUCGGGGAAAGGAAGAGCCAUCACAUGGACAGUGCCAGGCAGCUCAAGUCAGGAAGGAGCUCCAGCUCAGACGGUGAGCAGAUGCCGGAUGCCAUCGAUGCCCAGGGACAGACUGGAACGCGUCUCUGCCUCUGUCCAAGCCAUCUCUAACCACAGGAGAAGGCUGUGCCUCCCCCACACUGACCCAGCUAUCAGGCUGAGAGUCCUUUGUGGAAUAUGCACUGUCGCUCCCUAUGGAGAACAAAAGGCUAUCUCGAGCUGGAAACGAUCAGCAGAGGUGAAAUGUGGCCGACGUGUGACUGGACUUCAAGAAGAAAGGCUGGGACUGAGGAUCGGCUGUAACUUUGUCCCUGGGCUCCCCAGCUGGUUCUUUCACAGUAGAGUCCCCAGUUAAUUCAAGACUGCCCCCCACCCCCGCCCC